This 1008-nucleotide long non-coding RNA is filed under the name Felis catus (domestic cat). RNAcentral's name for it is "lncRNA (ENSFCAG00000048756.1)". The record is from RNAcentral. Lineage: Eukaryota; Metazoa; Chordata; Mammalia; Carnivora; Felidae.
AUGUCCUGGCCCAACAAAGAAAGCUCACAAGCAGCUCUGCCUUUGAGGAAACCGAGAAGUCUGUUGAAAUCUAUACUAAAAGAUCGUCAGGCGGGACAAGCAGCUGGAGGUACGGAUGCUUUGGGGACGCAAGGUGACCAGCUAGGAGAUGGGAGUCCCCGAAGAUCCCGUGUCAGAAGUGACACUCAGGAGGUCGGCGUCGUGGCAGGUGCGUCCCCGCCGGGCUGCUGCUAUGGAAAUCUGCAACACCUUCUUCUCCUUCUCUGGGCUUUGGAGGGUCACAAGUUUGCAAGGUUUCCACCAGUUUACGGUGAGGUUAGGAAGAAGCCUGGAGAAGCCCAAACCUUGUCGUUUGUCUUGGAAAAGGGCCGAAGAGGCGUAAGGGGCACAUGCCGGGUUGCCGCCCGCCUGGGCAUUUCCUUAGGUCGUUUGCACAAACAGCAAGACGGGCGUUAUCGUUAUAGGAUAUGUGGCAAAAGGAAACCGAGGCUCAGGGAAGCCCGUGACUUGCCCAAGGUCCACAGCGAGGAGGCCAAGGGCUGCACGCGUGAGGAUGGGGACCGUGGCUUCCGUGGAGUGUUGGAGGGGCCCAGGGCCCAGCGUGGACUCUACCGAGGGGCAGCACGUCUUUCCUGUCGCUGCUGUAACAAAUCACAGCGUAAACAACACAAAGUUAUUCCCUUACCAUUCUGGAGGACAGAAGUCCGACAUGGCUCUCAUCGGGCUAAAAUCAGAAGAAGGCGUCAGCGGUCAGCAGGGUGCAUUCCCUUUGGACAGGGAAAAGUCUGUGCCCCUUUCCAGCUUCUAGAAGCAGCCUGUGUUCCUUCGCGGUCGGCUCCUCUCUCCAUCUUCGGAGUCAGCACUUCCGCAUCCUCCAAUCUCUACCUGAAAAAUGUUCAUUUAUUUAUUUUGAGUGUGGGGGGGAGGGGGCAGAGAGGGAGGGAGAGAGAAUCCCCAGCGGGCUCUGCGCUGUUAGAGCAGAGCCCCGGGUGGGGCUCCAACUCGUGA